UUACGGCCAUAUCCCGUUAAAACAGCGGUUCCCUUACGAUCACCGCAGUUAAAUAACAUCGGGCCUGGUCAGUAGCUAGUUGGGUGAGAGCCUUGGAAUGUCAGGUGCUGUGA
Non-coding RNA from Acanthosepion pharaonis, 113 nucleotides. Lineage: Eukaryota; Metazoa; Mollusca; Cephalopoda; Sepiida; Sepiidae. The record is from the annotation of a GenBank genome assembly.